This 518-nucleotide ribosomal RNA is filed under the name uncultured bacterium. RNAcentral describes it as "bacterial SSU rRNA". It matches the Rfam family "Bacterial small subunit ribosomal RNA", at positions 32 to 526 of the family's 1533-position model. The record is from RNAcentral.
AACCAACGCUGGCGGCGUGCCUAACACAUGCAAGUCGAACGCGAAAGGGGCUUCGGCCCUGAGUAGAGUGGCGAACGGGUGAGUAACACGUGGGUGAUCUACCUUCGAGUGGGGGAUAACGUCCCGAAAGGGACGCUAAUACCGCAUGAUGUUCCGGGUUUAAAGACCUGGAAACCAAAGCCGGGGACCGCAAGGCCUGGCGCUUGAAGAGGAGCCCGCGUCCGAUUAGCUAGUUGGCGGGGUAAUGGCCCACCAAGGCGACGAUCGGUAGCCGGCCUGAGAGGGCGGACGGCCACACUGGAACUGAGACACGGUCCAGACUCCUACGGGAGGCAGCAGUGGGGAAUUGUUCACAAUGGGCGCAAGCCUGAUGACGCAACGCCGCGUGGGGGAUGAAGGUCUUCGGAUCGUAAACCCCUGUCGAAUGGGACGAAAGACCCGGGAGCUAAUCAUCCCGGGAGUGACGGUACCGUUAAAGGAAGCCACGGCUAACUCUGUGCCAGCCGCCGCAGUAAUAC